Molecule: ribosomal RNA, 673 nt
Filed under: Sordariomycetes sp. genotype 8
Lineage: Eukaryota; Fungi; Ascomycota; Sordariomycetes
Description: eukaryotic LSU rRNA
Rfam family: Eukaryotic large subunit ribosomal RNA (bases 220-673)
Source: RNAcentral
AAUCUUUGAACGCACAUUGCGCCCGCCAGUACUCUGGCGGGCAUGCCUGUUCGAGCGUCAUUUCAACCCUCAAGCCCUGCUUGGUGUUGGGGUCCUACGGCUGCCGUAGGCCCUGAAAGCUAGUGGCGGGCUCGCUAUAACUCCGAGCGUAGUAGUAAAAUAUCUCGCUAGGGAGGUGUCGCGGGUUCCGGCCGUGAAAGCCCAUCUUUUACACAAGGUUGACCUCGGAUCAGGUAGGAAUACCCGCUGAACUUAAGCAUAUCAAUAAGCGGAGGAAAAGAAACCAACAGGGAUUGCCCCAGUAACGGCGAGUGAAGCGGCAACAGCUCAAAUUUGAAAUCUGGCUUCGGCCCGAGUUGUAAUUUGUAGAGGAUGCUUUUGGUGAGGUGCCUUCUGAGUUCCCUGGAACGGGACGCCAGAGAGGGUGAGAGCCCCGUAUAGUUGGACACCGAGCCUCUGUAAAGCUCCUUCGACGAGUCGAGUAGUUUGGGAAUGCUGCUCAAAAUGGGAGGUAUAUCUCUUCUAAAGCUAAAUACUGGCCAGAGACCGAUAGCGCACAAGUAGAGUGAUCGAAAGAUGAAAAGCACUUUGAAAAGAGGGUUAAAUAGUACGUGAAAUUGUUGAAAGGGAAGCGCUUGUGACCAGACUUGUGCCCGGCUGAUCAUCCAGUGUU